This is a long non-coding RNA of Ruditapes philippinarum (Manila clam), 1299 nucleotides long. RefSeq lists it as uncharacterized. The record is from RefSeq and is a predicted model, not a curated record. Lineage: Eukaryota; Metazoa; Mollusca; Bivalvia; Venerida; Veneridae. The transcript has 2 exons.
CGUUACUAGUACAUUUGUAUAUUUUAUUAAAGCUAUGAAUGUAAAAACGGCGGUACAUGCGUGUAUUUUCUUUAGCUAUUUCUCGCGGAGGGUCAGUUUGCAUCAUUUUUUAGAAAUCUAGAAAAAAUGCUAUUUAUCUCAUAGCGACUUGUUUUGUAUGUUAACUAAAUAAAAACAUUUUUAAAAAACAGAAAUAAGAGUUCCGUAAAAUAUACACAUAGAUACAUGAUCUUUGCAAAAAGUUCUUGUUAAAUACCCAUUAUUCCGUUCCUACCACAAUCAUUGAACUAUUUUUAUGUUCUUAUGUUAGAUGGAAUCGCUACCUUUACGUCCAGCGCGGUAAUAGUCUCGUAUAAUCACUUAGGUGUAACUUGUAUAAUGAGCUAAUGAAACUUUCCUGACGGGUUAUUUACUAUCUGGAACGAAUUUAACGGGCUUUAACGCUAUCUCCCCGCCAUUGAAAAAUUGGUGUACAGAAGUACAAUAUAUAAAUUUGUUAGAAUGUGGUAGGGUGUUAUUAUUUUAUAAUCAAAAGGAUUGCACUUUAAUUGAGCGAAAGAUUAUGUGAUUAUCAGAUGCAAAUCCAAGAUAAAGGAUCAUUAAUGUGAAGAAACAGACUUAUAGAAGAAAUCAACAAGAUAUCAUACUAUACCUAGACUAUUUGAUGUGAAGGAUAAUGCUAUUUAUUGCCUGACAAAAUUCAUGCCAUUGUGUUUUGCUUAUUUAUUUUUGUUGUUGUUUUAUUUUAAGCAAUUAACCUAUAUAUCUUGAACAAUAGAUUACACAUGUAUCGUACUAAAAAUAAAUAAUGAAUAAAUAUACUUUUUUAAGAUUCGCUCAAAAAAGGAGAUGAAUCAAAAAAGGAGAUAAAUGGGGCAUAAAUAGGCCAUGUUUAAGUUCUUGUUGUGUGAAAAUAGAUAUUUCAGCUUUUUCAUGCCACAAUAUGAAAUCAAUCCUGUAUUUAUAGAAAAUAAACUUCACUUUUUUUGUUUAUUAUUCAUCUUUUUCUUUCGUUUGACACUAAAAUUUGAAUGACUUUCCCUUUAACUUUGUAAUUUGACUGAGUUUAGAAGAAUGUAGUCCGAAAAGACACCAGUGAAAAACGGAAAUAUGUUUCACUGCAGUCCUUUCAAUAAAACAAGGAAAAUAAACUAUUUUUUAUGUCAUCAAUAUUUCUCAAUAUUUCAGAAUUUAUAUUAAGGAUAUUUAAGAAUAUAAUGAAAAGGGAUACAAAGGUUUUUUUUAUGUAAUUACGUGAUUUAUUUCAUCGAGUGAUAUGAAAAUAAAUAUUUCACCAGC